GAUGAAGAACGUAGCGAAAUGCGAUAAGUAAUGCGAAUUGCAGAAUUCAGUGAAUCAUCGAAUCUUUGAACGCACAUUGCGCCCCCUGGUAUUCCGGGGGGCAUGCCUGUCCGAGCGUCAUUGCUGCCCUCAAGCACGGCUUGUGUGUUGGGCCCCCGCCCCCCGGCUUCGGGGGGCGGGCCCGAAAGGCAGCGGCGGCACCGCGUCCGGUCCUCGAGCGUAUGGGGCUUCGUCACCCGCUCUGUAGGCCCGGCCGGCGCCCGCCGGCGACCCCAAUCAAUCUUUCCAGGUUGACCUCGGAUCAGGUAGGGAUACCCGCUGAACUUAAGCAUAUCAAUAAGCGGAGGA
This 348-nucleotide unclassified non-coding RNA is filed under the name soil metagenome. RNAcentral's name for it is "partial contains 5.8S ribosomal RNA, internal transcribed spacer 2, and large subunit ribosomal RNA". The stretch from base 1 to 120 matches the Rfam family "5.8S ribosomal RNA", at positions 35 to 154 of the family's 154-position model. The record is from RNAcentral.